This 203-nucleotide ribosomal RNA is filed under the name uncultured bacterium. RNAcentral's name for it is "partial 16S ribosomal RNA". It matches the Rfam family "Bacterial small subunit ribosomal RNA", at positions 524 to 724 of the family's 1533-position model. The record is from RNAcentral.
UACGUAGGGGGCAAGCGUUGUCCGGAUUUAUUGGGCGUAAAGAGCGUGUAGGCGGCCAUUCAGGUCAGCUGUGAAAACUCGAGGCUCAACCUCGAGACGUCGGUUGAAACCGUUUGGCUAGAGUCCGGAAGAGGAGAGUGGAAUUCCCGGUGUAGCGGUGAAAUGCGCAGAUAUCGGGGAAGAACACCCCGUGGCGAAGGCGG